UUUCAAAUGUUGGUUUAUCUUUGCAGGCACCUGAAUUCUUUACAACUGCUCCAGCCCUUGUGAUACCAAAAGCUAUUUCAAAUGCUAGUUUAGAUGCUUCUCAGAUUGAUUACUAUGAAAUAAAUGAAGCGUUUUCUGUUGUAGCUCUAGCCAAUCAAAAGCUGCUUGGUCUUAAUCCUGAAAGCCUUAACGUACAUGGUGGGGCUGUAUCAUUGGGACACCCAUUAGGAUGCAGUGGAGCUCGUAUCUUGGUCACAUUGUUAGGGGUAA
This is a long non-coding RNA of Humulus lupulus (European hop), 270 nucleotides long. RefSeq lists it as uncharacterized. The transcript is spliced from 3 exons. The record is from RefSeq and is a predicted model, not a curated record. Lineage: Eukaryota; Viridiplantae; Streptophyta; Magnoliopsida; Rosales; Cannabaceae.